AGGAUGAACGCUGGCGGCGUGCCUAACACAUGCAAGUCGAACGUCCUGUCUCGCAAGAGGCAGGGAGUGGCGGACGGGUGAGUACCACGUGGGUUAUCUACCGUGAGGUGAGGAAUACCGGCGAGAAAUCGCCGACAAGACCGCAUAGCCUCGGUGCAAGCCGAGGAAAGCUCUCUCGAGAGAGGGAGCGCCACACGAGGAGCCUGCGCCCGAUUAGCUAGCUGGUGGAGUAAUGGUUCACCAGGGCGACGAUCGGUAGCUGGUCUGAGAGGACGAUCAGCCACACUGGGAUUGAGAACGGCCCAGACUCCUACGGGGGGCAGCAGUGAGGAAUUUUCGUCAAUGGGGGCAACCCUGAACGAGCAACGCCGCGUGCAGGAAGAAGGUUUUCGGAUCGUAAACUGCUUUUCUCGGGGAAGAGAACGGACGGUACCCGAGGAAUCGAGCCCCGGCUAACUACGUGCCAGCAGCCGCGGUAA
Molecule: ribosomal RNA, 479 nt
Filed under: uncultured bacterium
Lineage: Bacteria
Description: SSU rRNA
Rfam family: Bacterial small subunit ribosomal RNA
Source: RNAcentral